RNAcentral lists this ribosomal RNA (301 nucleotides) under uncultured bacterium. RNAcentral's name for it is "partial 16S ribosomal RNA". It matches the Rfam family "Bacterial small subunit ribosomal RNA", at positions 509 to 807 of the family's 1533-position model. The record is from RNAcentral.
CAGUAGCCACGGUAAUACGAAGGGGGCUAGCGUUGUUCGGAAUUACUGGGCUUAAAGCGCACGUAGGCGGAUAUUUAAGUCAGGGGUGAAAUCCCAGAGCUCAACUCUGGAACUGCCUUUGAUACUGGGUAUCUUGAGUAUGGAAGAGGUGAGUGGAAUUCCGAGUGUAGGGGUGAAAUUCGUAGAUAUUCGGAGGAACACCAGUGGCGAAGGCGGCUCACUGGUCCAUUACUGACGCUGAGGUGCGAAAGCGUGGGGAGCAAACAGGAUUAGAUACCCGUGUAGUCCCUGUCUCUUAUAC